UACGAAGGGAGCUAGCGUUGUUCGGAAUUACUGGGCGUAAAGCGCACGUAGGCGGGCAACUAAGUCAGGGGUGAAAUCCUGAGGCUCAACCUCAGAAUUGCCUUUGAUACUGGUUGCCUUGAGGUCGGGAGAGGUUGGUGGAAUUCCUAGUGUAGAGGUGAAAUUCGUAGAUAUUAGGAAGAACACCAGUGGCGAAGGCGGCCAACUGGCCCGAAUCUGACGCUGAGGUGCGAAAGCGUGGGGAGCAAACAGG
Molecule: ribosomal RNA, 253 nt
Filed under: uncultured bacterium
Lineage: Bacteria
Description: partial 16S ribosomal RNA
Rfam family: Bacterial small subunit ribosomal RNA
Source: RNAcentral